UGGGGGAUAUUGCACAAUGGGCGAAAGCCUGAUGCAGCGACGCCGCGUGGGGGAUGAAGGCUUUCGGGUUGUAAACCUCUUUCGCUAUCGAACAAGGCCCGCUUAGGGUGGGUUGAGGGUAGGUGGAGAAGAAGCGCCGGCUAACUACGUGCCAGCAGCCGCGGUAAUACGUAGGGCGCGAGCGGUGUCCGGAAUUAUUGGGCGUAAAGGGCUUGUAGGCGGCUUGUUGCGCCUGCUGUGAAAACGCGGGGCUUAACUUCGCGCGUGCAGUGGGUACGGGCAAGCUUGAGUGUUGUAAGGGGGACUAGAAUUCCAGGUGUUGCGGUGGAAUGCGCAGAUAUCUGGAGGAACACCGAUGGCGAAAGCAGGUCACUGGGGCAUUACUGACGCUGAGGAGCGAAAGCAUGGGUAGCGAACAGG
RNAcentral lists this ribosomal RNA (420 nucleotides) under bacterium. RNAcentral describes it as "partial 16S ribosomal RNA". It matches the Rfam family "Bacterial small subunit ribosomal RNA", at positions 355 to 776 of the family's 1533-position model. The record is from RNAcentral.